UUUUCCGGACGUAAUUGACAGACGCACCCUAAAAUAUUUUUAACUUUACAUACGAUUGAAUCAUUGCAUUCACUCUUGAUUUCAGUUCGCUUUCUUUUUCUAAUUUAUUUUUUCUUCUUUCUUUUUCUCUUUCUGUUUAUUCAUCGCCAUCAUCACCAUCCUCAACGACAUCAGAAUCAGGCUCAAUAUCUUCACCAUUCUAACCGUUUUGAAUAACUAAUAAGCCUUGUAUCUUUCAACCUUUUUUCAUGCUCGAAAUUAUAUCUUUUUUUACUCCUUUUUGUAUUGGAUUUGGCUUUUGCCUCUUUCAGAUUUUACUGGACUAAACAAAUAAAAUAAAUUACAAAUUGGACUACUAAUGACGAGUGGAAUAAGAUUACCGACAUUUCUCAGCUGACCCAAGUAACACUCUUUACUGUAUAAAAUUUAUACUUUUGUGCAUGUAACUUGGGUUUAAUAUGAUUAUUGCAUUGAAAGUGACAGUUUCGUUUAUCGAUACAUUUUUGAACCUUUAAAGUGAUACAAACGUUUGCUUAUGCAGUUAUAAAAAAUAACCCGAUUUUGUUCAAGAUGGACAUCAAUAAAUAAUAAUGAUGGUAAGGUGCAAACCACGCAAUUUGCACCACUUAAACUUGCAUUUUAUACCUUCUUCCUCGUUAUCAUCACAUCAUCAUCAUCAUUAUCAACUGUUCAUCAUCUCCUUCCUCAUAAUUGGAAACAUAGAGUGUAUUUGUUUACACCUAAUGUUAUGCUUCUGGUCAUAUCUUUGAUUUGGAAAUUGGAUUAAAUGGAAAGCACGUUGGAAUCAUUUGAAUUGAAUAAUCAUAACUAUAAUUGAGUAAAGAUCAUGAUCAACAUACUUCUCCUUUAUCACACUCAAUAUCAUGAUGAACCAGCUUUUCUGAAGACUCUCAAUUUUACUCGUCGAUUCGGAUGGUUGACUGUAACUUAACUGAUUGGCUUCAUGGGACCUCAUCAGAAUCAACACCAACAUGAGGACACAAACAAACACACCAAACCCAAAGGAGAUUGUAAACUGUUAACAAUCAUACAAACAGUAUUAUUGAUAUCAGUUGUCAUUAAUAUUUACGUUUUUGCGUUUAAUGAAAAAGUAAAAUGUGAAAAGAAAUGAAAAGUUAGCAAGAAAAUCGUGAAAUAAUCAUAUUUCACGUUAAUUUCACUUUUACUUGAAAUGCCAAUUAUCGGAUAGAGCAGUUAAUUGGCCCAGUAAAAGUGAAAUGAUCAAAAAAUGGUCUAAAGAUUGGCCAUUUAGACGUAAAAACUUUGUAUUUUCCAAUACAUCAUUGAUCUGGAAAAGCGGCCUCAAUGUCACCUUUAUUUUCACCAUUUUCAUUUUGAUCCAUUUUACUUUUCCAUUGACUCGAGUAAAUCACAAUUUUUUCAUCUCAUCCAUCAUCAAAUCACAUCUAAUUGAGCAAUCAGUCUCUAAUGAAAAAUCAAGUGAAAACGGAUCUAAGAAGGUUAAUUGCGAACUUGUCGUUAUCAAAAAUCAUUUUGAUUCCUGCCAAUUGUCAGAUGAAAUGGUAUAAACCAUCAUUUUGAGCUUGUUUCCAUUUUUUUUUUCAAUUAAAAAAAUAUUUUUGUAUUAAACAGUAAAAAUAUUAUUUUG
Tetranychus urticae (two-spotted spider mite) is the source of this 1630-nucleotide non-coding RNA. NCBI's taxonomy places the organism in Eukaryota, Metazoa, Arthropoda, Arachnida, Trombidiformes, Tetranychidae. The record is from RefSeq and is a predicted model, not a curated record.